ACACACCUGAGAGGUGUCACCGGCUCCAGUCUCACCUCCACCUGCCUGAGAAGGGAAACGUCUCCUCACAGCAACACAGAAAAUCACAGACAUGGACAAACUGGCCGGGAUUGUCGGGAAAAAAGUGGGAGAUGCGGUGGAGGGUGCGGUGAAGGGCGCUCUGCAUUUAGGGAACAAAGACAAAGACAAGAAUAAGAAGAAAGGUGGAGGAGGAAUCUUCUCACGGACAGGAGGCGACAAGGACAAAAAGAAGGAGGUGGACAAGGGCGAAGACAAAGGAGGACUCUUCAACAGAGAGGACGAAUAUGAGAAGGAGCGGAAGUCCGGAUUCAAGGGUCUCUUCACUGAAGGGCCGCUCCCUGAAGCUGGCGGUGGUGGCGGAGCAGCGAUGGAAGGAGAAGCUGAAGAAAAACCACAAAGUGCUUCUGCCAACGAUGGAGAUUUGCUGGAUGAUCUUUUCGAAUUGGCUGAAGAAACAUCUCAAGGAAACUAAAACAGGAAGCUGUAAAGCACAACCCGACCCCCGAGGAAACAACUCCCACUCCUGAAUAAAGACUAAAAAAAAAAUCCACUUUUUUGUCCGUCUUUUCAGAAACGCACAGCUUCAGGCAGAUAACUCGUAAGCUGGAAAGGAAAUGGCGUGCCACAAACCAUUAGAGGAAAAAUGACCAAUAAUCAUCCCACAGAUGUAAUAUUAUCUACAGCUACUCUUAGUACCAUUGAUGUUAAGUUAGACUCUUUUUCUCCAAUUGAUCUUUCUGAGUUCACUUCAAUAAUUACUUCCUCCAAACCAUCAACGUGUCUUUUAGACCCCAUUCCUACAAAACUGCUCAAAGAAGUCCUGCCAUUAAUUAAUGCUUCAAUCUUAAAUAUGAUCAACCUAUCUCUAAUGAUCAGCAUUUAAUCAUCUGUUAUUAUUAGAGCUGUCAGCAUUAACAUGGAUCAAUCCAACCAAUCACAGCAGAUGGCCCCGCCCCUCCCCGAGCCUGGUUCUGCUGGAGGUUUCUUCCUGCUAAAAGGGAGUUUUUCCUUCCCACUGUCGCCAGAGUGCUGCUCACAGGGGGUCAUAUGAUUGUUGGGUAAUAAAAACUAAAAUGCUUGAACAUGGACUUUAAAUACAUUCAUUUAUUGUUUCUGGUUUGGUUGUCCUUUAAUAUUGAAUAAAUUAAAUGAAUAAAUUAGUUAUGUGGAAUUAUUACUCUGGUCAAACAGAGUCUCUGAGGUAGCUCAUCACACACAUAAAUAAUCCAUUUCUAUGAACUGAUCUAAAUGUGAGGAGAAAAUACCUGAAACGUUGCACAGGUUUGGUAUGACAGUCUACCUGUGACACAGGUGACCAAUCAAUGACCUUUCUGUGACCUGAUGGGGGGUCGUGAAUAUAUGUAAUACAUGAAUACAUAAAUUAGAUGUAUAACAAAAAAAUAAUUAUAAAAUAUGUAA
This is a long non-coding RNA of Haplochromis burtoni (Burton's mouthbrooder), 1440 nucleotides long. RefSeq lists it as uncharacterized. The transcript has 3 exons. The record is from RefSeq and is a predicted model, not a curated record. NCBI's taxonomy places the organism in Eukaryota, Metazoa, Chordata, Actinopteri, Cichliformes, Cichlidae.